RNAcentral lists this ribosomal RNA (650 nucleotides) under Streptomyces variabilis. Its description in RNAcentral is "bacterial SSU rRNA". It matches the Rfam family "Bacterial small subunit ribosomal RNA", at positions 335 to 1014 of the family's 1533-position model. The record is from RNAcentral. Lineage: Bacteria; Bacillati; Actinomycetota; Actinomycetes; Kitasatosporales; Streptomycetaceae.
ACUCCUACGGGAGGCAGCAGUGGGGAAUAUUGCACAAUGGGCGAAAGCCUGAUGCAGCGACGCCGCGUGAGGGAUGACGGCCUUCGGGUUGUAAACCUCUUUCAGCAGGGAAGAAGCGAAUGUGACGGUACCUGCAGAAGAAGCGCCGGCUAACUACGUGCCAGCAGCCGCGGUAAUACGUAGGGCGCGAGCGUUGUCCGGAAUUAUUGGGCGUAGAGAGCUCGUACGCGGCUUGUCACGUCGGUUGUGAAAGCCCGGGGCUUAACCCCGGGUCUGCAGUCGAUACGGGCAGGCUAGAGUUCGGUAGGGGAUAUCGGAAUUCCUGGUGUAGCGGUGAAUGCGCAGAUCAAGAGGAACACCGGUGGCAAAGGCAGAUCUCUGGGCCGAUACUGACUCUAAAGAGCGAAGCGUGGGGAGCGAACGGGAUUAGAUACCCUGGUAGUCCACGCCGUACACGGUGGCACUAGGUGUGGGCGACUUCCACGUCGUCCGUGCCGCAUCUAAGCAUUUGUGCCCCCCGGGGAAUACGGCCGCAGGCUAAACUCAAGGGAUUGACGGGGGCCGCACAACCGCAGACAUGUGCUUAUUCCACGCACGCGAAGACCUUACCAGGCUUGAAUACCCGGAAGAUCAGAGAGGUGCCCCCUUGU